Molecule: ribosomal RNA, 123 nt
Filed under: Eimeria ellipsoidalis
Lineage: Eukaryota; Apicomplexa; Conoidasida; Eucoccidiorida; Eimeriidae
Description: partial 5.8S rRNA
Rfam family: 5.8S ribosomal RNA
About the family: 5.8S ribosomal RNA (5.8S rRNA) is a component of the large subunit of the eukaryotic ribosome.
Source: RNAcentral
CGAUGAAGGACGCAGCGAAAUGCGAUACGCAUUGUGAAUUGCAGAUUUCAGUGAACCAUCAGAUUUCCGAACGCAUAUGGCGCUGUGGGGACUUCCCCGCAGCACGUCUGUUUCAGUGUCUUU